UGGGGAAUUUUGGACAAUGGGGGCAACCCUGAUCCAGCAAUGCCGCGUGAGUGAAGAAGGCCUUCGGGUUGUAAAGCUCUUUUGUCAGGGAAGAAACGGUAGUAGCGAAUAACUAUUACUAAUGACGGUACCUGAAGAAUAAGCACCGGCUAACUACGUGCCAGCAGCCGCGGUAAUACGUAGGGUGCAAGCGUUAAUCGGAAUUACUGGGCGUAAAGCGUGCGCAGGCGGUUGUGUAAGUCAGAUGUGAAAUCCCCGGGCUCAACCUGGGAAUUGCAUUUGAGACUGCACGGCUAGAGUGUGUCAGAGGGGGGUAGAAUUCCACGUGUAGCAGUGAAAUGCGUAGAUAUGUGGAGGAAUACCGAUGGCGAAGGCAGCCCCCUGGGAUAACACUGACGCUCAUGCACGAAAGCGUGGGGAGCAAACAGGAUUAGAUACCCGGGUAGUCCCUGAGCGGGCUGGCAAGGCGCAU
Molecule: ribosomal RNA, 472 nt
Filed under: uncultured bacterium
Lineage: Bacteria
Description: bacterial SSU rRNA
Rfam family: Bacterial small subunit ribosomal RNA
Source: RNAcentral